Molecule: non-coding RNA, 207 nt
Organism: Arachis ipaensis
Lineage: Eukaryota; Viridiplantae; Streptophyta; Magnoliopsida; Fabales; Fabaceae
Source: RefSeq, a predicted model, not a curated record
UUGAAUUGAAGCAUGGGAUGUGGCUACUGUAAAAGCAGAGUCUGGAAUAUAUACUGGCACUUUAUGAUUGAUCACAAGGCAUUGUUCUCUGAGUUAAAGCUUCAGCAAUGUCAACUGGAUAGAUAAGAAAAGUUUUCCCGUAUGGAACAUCAACAUUCGCAAACCCAGGGAAAGAACAAGCAGUUUUCCAAGCUUCUAGGAAUGACU